Homo sapiens (human) is the source of this 1361-nucleotide long non-coding RNA. Ensembl annotates it as long intergenic non-protein coding RNA 1203. Lineage: Eukaryota; Metazoa; Chordata; Mammalia; Primates; Hominidae. The record is from Ensembl.
ACAGCGUGUUUCAUUAAACACAUUCAUCAUUGAAUGUGUUUCUUCAGGUACCCAUAGUCAUGAAAUCAUAGUGAACCUAACAGUGGUCAUUUAUGUGUUCUUGGUAGUAACCAGGUCAGUGAUAAAUUGGGUCUUACCACACUACAGACCACCUGUUCUUCAGAUUUUUAGGUAAGCAAGUAUGGUCCCUCUAACACAGUGUUACUGUGUUUGUCUUUUUCAGGCUUCCCAAAAGUUGUUUGAUAGUAUACAGGCAUGAGAUGGUGUGACUCUAACUCAUUAGAUGCCUUCGUCUUUUCAGUCAUCAUGUGAUGGAAAGAAAGCUAUCAACUUCAUUCCUGAGACUUCCUGCAACACAGAUCCAUCUAAACUUUUACUUCAUUGGAGGGUCCUUCCUGACCCAUGCAACUCAACAAAAAACUCUCACAGUUUUUAUAUGCUUUGUUGGGGAUUAACCCAUCUUGCAUUGCAUUGCUAGCUUAGUAUGUCUAGCAUGGGCAUGCCUGCUGAAGUUUGGAACUUCCCAUCAAGGAAACAGGAAAAUGCCAUUGGCAAUGAGCUGAAGACUGAUUUACUCUACCAGUUUGGAACAUCUGUUAUUGCUGCUACUACGGUUUCUAUCACUGUUUGAUGCUGGGACUCUUAAGCUCCAACCACGUUUUCACCGAGCUGAGUCGCCUUCUUAUCACCCCUUUCUGGAGCAGCAGGACAUCUGGGGAUGAGAAGAUGGAGAGAUCAUCCUUAUAUAAUGUUGCAGUCUGGAAGCAUCACUCUCAAAAAGCCAUUGUAGAGAAUCCAAGCCGAGUUUAAGAGUGCUGUGGAAAUACACUGCUGCUACUGCUGUUUCUAUUACUGUUUGAUGCUGGGACUCUUAUGCUCCAACCACGUUUUCACCCAGCUGAGUCGCCUUCGUAUCACGCCUUUCCAGUUUUGAUAGACUAGAAAAAUGACAAGACUCCAAGUCCUUGAAGAGGAGGAAAAGUGUGAAGAAAACAAAAAAGGGAGAUUUAUGUCUGCUUCACCAUUUUGCCCAAGACUUGACCUGUCAUACACUGAAGCUCAGAGAGGAAGAAAGGACCGUGUGAGAGAAGAAGGGAACAGCCUUUCAUCCAUAGGAGAAGUUCGUCUAUGACAAAGCCACUAGCUCCAUGUGGCCGCUGAGCACUCAAAAUGUGGCCAGUCUGAAUUGAGAUAUGUUGUUAGUAUAAAGUCCACAUCGGCUUUUUGAGCACUUUGUAUGAGAAAAAAGAAUACCAAAUAUCUCCUUAAUAAUUGUUACAUUGAUUAUAUGUUGAACUGAUAACAUUAUGGAUAUAUUGGAUUAAAUAAAAUAAAUUAUUAAAAUCAAAUAAAAAAUAAAA